This 100-nucleotide microRNA precursor is filed under the name Cebus imitator (Panamanian white-faced capuchin). Its description in RNAcentral is "miRNA (ENSCCAG00000031768.1)". The record is from RNAcentral. Lineage: Eukaryota; Metazoa; Chordata; Mammalia; Primates; Cebidae.
UGAGGCAGGAGAAUUGCUUGAACCCAGGAGGUGGAGGUUGCAGUGAGCCGAGAUCGCGCCACUGCACUCCAGCCUAGGUGACAGAGUGAGACUCUGUCUC